RNAcentral lists this long non-coding RNA (8271 nucleotides) under Sus scrofa (pig). RNAcentral describes it as "lncRNA (ENSSSCG00060056490.1)". The record is from RNAcentral. Lineage: Eukaryota; Metazoa; Chordata; Mammalia; Artiodactyla; Suidae.
UUCUUACCUUACUGCAUUGAUCAGGACUUCUAAUAUGAUAUUCAUUAAGCCUGAAAGUAGCCAUCCUUUUCCCUUUUUCCCAUCUUGGUCUUCACCAUUAAGUGUAGUAGUAUGUUAGCUGCAGUUCACCCUUCCCCACCCCUCGACACACACAUACACUUCCUAGAACUCUGGAGAAGAAUGGUUAAUUACAUGUAUGUAGAUAUAUAUCACUUCUGUUACUUUUUCUUCAUUCCUGAGGUUCCCAUUUUCCUGAUGAUUUCUCUUUUACCUAAACCACUAAAUCAUUGCCUUUAACAGUUUUGUUUUAAGAGCAGCCUGCUGUUGAAAAAUUCUCUUAGCUUUCCUUCUAUUCAGAUUACUUUUAUUUCACCUUUAUUCCUAAAGGAUGCAUUUGCUGAAUAUAUUUUCUGAGUUGGUAUUUCUUUUCUUGGUGUAUUUGGAAACAUUAAACCAUCUCCCUGGCUGAUCUCUCUUGAUUUCUGACAAGAAAUCUACAGUCAUUCAAAUUAAUGUUUCACUACAAGUGAUCAUUUGUUUUUCUCUGGCUCCUUUCAGGAGUUUUAUUUUCUUUCUUUCUUUCUUUCUUUCUUUCUGUCUGUCUGUCUGUCUGUCUGUCUGUCUCUCUCUCUCUCUCUCCCCUUCCUUCCUUCCUUCCUUCCUUCCUUCCUUCCUUCCUUCCUUCCUUCCCUCCCUCCUUCCUUCUUCCUUUCUUUCUUUCUUUCAUCUUUUAGGGCUGCACCGGUGGCAUAUGGAGGUUCCCAGGCUAGGGGUCGAAUCGGAACUAUAGCCGCCAGCCUAUGCCACAGCCACAGCAAUGCAGGCUCUGAGCCGUGUCUGCAGCCUACACCACUGCUCAUGGCAACGCCAGAUCCUUAACCCACUGAAAGAGGCCAGGAAUCAAACUCAGGUCCUCAUGGAUGCUAGUCGGGUUCGUUAACCACUGAGCCACAACUGGAACUCCUAUUUUUACUUUUAUCCUUUUAGGCCUAUACCCGUAGCAUUAUAGAAGUUCCCAGGCUAGAUGUAGCUGCUGGCCUACGCCACAGCAACAGCAGAUCUGAGCCAUGUCUGCAACCUAUACCACAGCUGAUGGCAAUGCUAGAUCCUUAACCCCCUGAGCAAGGCCAGGGAUUGAACCUGCAUCCUCAUGGAAUCUAGUUAGUUAGGUUCAUUACCGCUGCACCACCAUGGGAACUCUAGGAAUUUAUUUUAGUCUUGAGUUUUCUGCAGUUGAUUAUAGUUUGCAGUGCUAGAUCCUUAACCCCCUGAGCAAGGCCAGGGAUUGAACCUGCAUCCUCAUGGAAUCUAGUUAGGUUCAUUACCGCUACACCACCAUGGGAACUCUAGGAAUUUAUUUUAGUCUUGAGUUUUCUGCAGUUGAUUAUAGUUUGCUCGGGCAUGGAUUUCUUUAGAUUUAUCCCAUUUAGUAUUAAAGGAAAACCGUUUUUCUACUCAUUACUAUUCUGAUACCAAAUGUUUGGAUUUUCCACAUCAAGCAAUUUUCUAAUUCUUUGUGAACACCAACUGGUUUCCUAUGACCUAAUUCAGUUCUGAUACUAUCUCCCUGGAGUUAGCACAAAACCCACAGGUUAAGGCCUAAGUCCCAUAAGAUUGUCCCCACUUUAGGUAUAAUAAGUAGUAGGUCCUCAGGUUACCUCCACUUCUAUCUGACUUGACUACAAAUCAGGAAUUUCCACAACCCUCUACGUAGGUUUAAAAAUUUUCUGUAACAGCUCAUAGAACUCAGGGAGACACUAGUUAUUAUCACUAGUUUAUUAUAAAGGGUGUUAUAAUUAUUUUUUAUUUUUAUUGAAGAAUAGCAGUCUCAUGAUACGUGUCUUUGUCUGGCCUACUUCACUUAGUAUGAUAAUGUCAUCCAUGUUGCUUCAGGUGGUUGAGUGGUAUUCAUGUGUAUGUAUGUGUGUGUGCACACACACCACAUCCUCUUUAUCCACUUAUCUAUUGAUGGACAUUUAGAUUGCUUCUAUGUCUUGGCUAUUGUAAAUGGUGCUGCAGUGAACAUUGGAGUGCGUGUAUCUUUUUGAAUAUAUGCCUGAGAGUGGGAUUGCUGGAUCGUAUGGUAGUUCUAUAUUUAGUUUUUUAAGGAACCUCCAUGGUAUUCUCCAUAGUGGCUGCACCAGUCUACAUUCCCACCAACAGUGUAGGAAAGUUCCUCUUUCUCUACACCCUCCUAGCGUUUAUUAUUUGUAGACUUGUUGAUGAUAGCCUUUCUGAUUGGGGUGUAUUAUAAAGGGUGCAGAUGAGCAGCCAGUUGAAGUAAUACAUAAAGCAAAGUCUCAAAGUGUCCUGAGCACAGGAAUUCCCAUGGGGUGGGUGGGGUGCAGCUGCCUUAUGGCAUGUGAAUACAUUCAUCAAUCUGAAGCUCGCCAAACCCAUUUAUUUGGGGUUUUUUAGGAGAUUCCAUUAUGAUGACCUGUUUGAUUAAGUCAUUGGUUAUUACCAUCUCUUCCCAUCCUGGAGGUCUGGGGUGGGGUGUAGUGGGACUGAAAGUUAUAGCCUUGUAAUCACAUGGUUGGUUCCUUUGGCAACCAUCCCUAAUCCUUAAACUCUCUGGGAUCUUCUAGCCACCAGUCAUCUUAUUAACAUAAACUCAGGUACUGUUGAAAGAGGUUUGUUAGUAAAAUUAUAAAAGAUGCUUCUCUCACUCCUGUCACCUAAGAAAUUACAAGAGUUUUUGGAGCUCUGUGCCAGGAACCAGGGAGGAAGACUAAAUAUGUAUUUCUUAGUCUAUCACAACAAUCAUGUAUGUUUUUGUAACAUAAUUCUAACAUCUGUGUUUCGUGGAGUUGAUAUCUGUUGUCUUGGUUAAAUAUAUUGAGAUUUUCCUAGUAUUUGUAUGCAAGGUGAUUUUGGAUUGUAUUUUGGGCAUUUUAAGUUUUAUAAGGUUCAAAGUCAUGCUUGUAUCCUGUGGAGAAGCAGAUUCUACACAGAAGAUUGACUCAGGUUGGGAGAUAUGACCUAGUUUAGCUUCUGAAGCACACCUCUAUUAAGAUACUUACGGGGGAGUCUGUAGCUUUUUAAACCAAAACCUUUAUGUCCAGGCAGCAAACCUUCCCUUAUUUAAAGUGAUUAGAGUAUCUGUUCUUCAAAAUCAAAAGAGCAUACUAACUGGUUUCCACUUAAACAUUUGCAAAGAAAACAUUUUUGCUUUAGUAUUUAAUAUCAGUUUUAAUAUUAAAGUUUGGUAUAGAGUGUAUCUUUGGUAACAUAGAAUAAUAGAGUACAGAUUUAGAGUCAGUCAUAUCCCACCAUUUGUGGGAUCUUGAAUAAAUCAAUACCGAAUUUUAGUUCUCUUAUCUAUGAGACAUUUAUAUGGUAUCCAGCCAGUAGUCUACUGGAGCUGGCUGGUACCAGCUCACAAGGGCCAAUUAAGUUCUUAGAACUCUUGUGAGCUGAUUGUUUAAUGAUGCAACCAUCAUUAAAAAUUAAAUUACAUAAACUUAUAAUUAAAUUAUGUUAAAAGCAAUGACAUAUAGAUGCUCAAAACUCAUCACUUCUUAAUUAUUUUGUUACACUGCACUAUUACUUAUGUCUGUUAUAUCUAUGUAUGGUGAAAUAAAUAAUGAUAUGCUAUUGCUUAUCUCUUCCCAAUUCUGUGUUUGGUGCUUUUACAUUGAUAGCUUGAUAGAAAUCUAUCAAUAAAUACUAUCAUGGUAGUAGUUAUACCAUGAAAAUUGUUAAAUAGUAUAAUUAUAACUAGAGCGUAAUUUACUGCUUGAUUGCUUGAUUGUCUAGAUUUAAGGAAGUGAUGGGAAAAAUGCCAGUAAAGCAGAUUAAACUUAAACAAUCUGUUGCUUGUUGUUAUGAGUAGCACAAAAAAUUAAAGAACUAUUCUCAUUAUUAGCUAAUUUAGCCAAGAGGUUGCUCAUUUCAUUGGUGAGGUUAUGACGUACGUCUUUGUUUCACUUCCCUCAUAUUUUUUCACAUAAAUGACAGUGUUAAGGUUGGAACUACACUUAUGCAUCAGUUGCAACCCUAGGUUGGCUUCUCGUGACUUUUGCAAAAUCAGUAAGAGCAUUUUGUCAGAACCAUUUAGCUCCAAGGGAUUUAUAAUAAAGAGUAUUGUAUACUUUAUUAUAAUUGAUUUUAAUUUAUUAUAAUUGUAUAUUUUAUUAUAAUACUUUAUUAUAAUUGUAGUUUGUAAAUUGUGUCCUAAACAUCUUUUAUAUUGGUGAGAUUUAUAAUAAACAUAUAUUUCACACACACACAUACACACUGAGAACUGAUUGUUAAACAUUUAUGAAGCACAACAUUGUGUUGGGCACAGAGCAGGCAUUCAUUAAAUAUUACUUUCUCCAAAGGGGAGAAAAGGAAAUAGAAUUUCAAAUAGAAUCAAAGUACCUGCUAUACUUAGAGUAAUCGGAAUUGGUAAAAGAAAAGCUUUAACACUGGCGUUUACUUCAGGGUUAGUAUAUCCUUUGCUAUUACCACUGUCACUAGUUUUAAAAAAUACCUUAGUUUAAAAGACAAAUAAUAGGAUGAGGGAGUAUGAUUUGCUUUUGAAUUCCAUAUUUUGGGAAUAUCAGUACUUCAGUAUAUUUCAGAGAGGGACUUUAGAAACUUAAAGGAUAUAAUAUUUAUUGAAUAUUAAAAAACAGCCAUGAAUCAUAGCACCUAUCAACAUUUUCUUGAAAAGGUUUUCCCAAGAAAUGGGCCUGACUUAAAUUUUGGUUUUAAUUUUCAUUUUUUUUCAUCUUUUGUCCACCUUCUUGUAUUAAUAAGGAAAUUAUUUUAUAAAAAGCAUUUCAGCAUUGGGAACAUCACAGGCUGAUUAUGUUUUUAAUCACUGCAAAAAUAGAUUUUUUUGACAACAUUUUCCAUCAUUAUGAUGACUUUUCUUCCCAUUUUAAAUCUGGAAUAAAAUAUUUUUUAAGCAUCCUGGUUGACAGGUCCCCCCCCCCCAAUAGGGUUUUUUUUUUUCCCCUGCUUGCAUUUAGAAUAUAUUUUAAGGGUCAUGUGGUCAGUGUUCUUACUUCCCAACUACCUCCACCUUGUUUAAAUAAGAAAAAAGCAUCUGUAUUUCUAUAGUGCCUAGCUGAUUGUGUUCCAUCUCCCAAAGGAAAGGAACUAAUUGCUAAACAUAGAGAAGAUAAAACAUUGAGAUAUCUUCCUGUUUGGAUUUAAUGUGUUACUAAUAAGAGAAAAGUAAGCCUUUACACGUUUUAAUCCUAUUACUUCCAAAAGAAUAACAUGAAGUAUUUCUUCCUCACGUAUGUUUGAAAAUAUAUACAGAAAGGGUUGAAUUAUAUUAAUAUCUUAGUAGAAAACCAAUUAACCAUACAUAUGUGUGUCUAUUUCUGGGCUCUCUAUUGUAUUCCAUAGGGUUUAUCCUCCUUAUGCCAAAGUAACACUUGUCUUCAUUACUAUAGCUUCAUAAUUAGUUCUGAAAUUGGACAGUAUAAAUCUUCCAGCUUUUUUAUUUUCGACAUUUUUUGGCUAUUCUAGAUUUUUUUGCACUCCCAAAUAAUUUGUCAAGUUUUGAAAAAAAAAAAAGCCUACUGGGAUUUUGUUUGAUAUUUGCACUGAAUCUGUAAAUCAUUUUGGUGAGAAUUGACAUAUUAACAGUGUUGAAUAUUGCCAUCUAUGAACAUUAUAUAUUUUUUCACUUAUUUAGGGUAUCUUUACUUUGUCUUUGCAAUGUUUUUAGUUUUCCACGUUUGUAUUUACAGACGCUGUGUAUAUUUUGCUAAAUUUAUCCCUAAGUAUUUCAUAUUUUUGAUGCUAUAAUAGUAAUGUUUUAAAACUUUAUUUUCUAAUUAUUUGUUGCUAGUAUAUAGAGAUAUAAUUGAAUUUUGUGUAUUGUUCUUAAUAUCUGAAACCCCUACUUAAGUUCAUUUAUUAGCUCUAGCAGAACUUUUGUAGAUUUGUUAGGAUGUGGUAUAUACACAUUAUAUUGUCAGUGAAUAAAAACAGUCUUAAGUUUUUUCAUUUCUGAUCCAUAUGCUUUAUAUUUUUAUAAUUGCUAACCCACAAGUUACAAAGCAUUUCUUAAUUCAUUUAUACAUCUUUUGUCUAAUCAUUGGUAACUCCCUUAAUUUGAAGGCAUAUGAUCAAAUUUUCUUAAUCAUAGUAGAUAGAGGAUCUCUUUGGUAUAGCUUUUCUAAUAAGGCCAGUCAUUCGAAACAUCUCUUUCAUAUCAGUCCAUAGUAAACAAUACUUGGAUGAAUUUAUUAGAGAGUAGAAGUUUCAAAUUUCUACAGAAAACUCAAGUUCUUUUAAGCUGUAUCUUUUAUUUUUAUUUUUAUUUAUUUUUUGUCUUUUUGCUAUUUCUUGGGCUGCUCCCGCGGCAUAUGGAGGUUCCCAGGCUAGGGGUCGAAUCAGAGCUGUAGCCACCGGCCUAUGCCAGAGCCACAGCAACGCGGGAUCCGAGCUGCAUCUGCAACCCACACCACAGCUCACUGCAAUGCCGGAUCGUUAACUCACUGAGCAAGGGCAGGGACCGAACCCGCAACCUCAUGGUUCCUAGUCGGAUUCGUUAACCACUGCGCCACGACGGGAACUCCUAAGCUAUAUCUUUUAGGUAAAAGUAGCAAGUCUGCUGUUUAAAAAUUUAAGACGUUUUAUAUUGUUUAUUUUGUGAGCAUUACAUUUCCUUUGUAAGCAGGUAACAUUUUGUAUUACAUAUAAAAUAGCAGUAAAAGGAAAGCCAAAUCUGCUGAUAGUAUUUUAAAAUGUUAUUCUUCAAUACUAUUACAGUUGUCAUAGUACAUUACUAUUUUAUAUAUUUCCUGAAAAAUUAAAUAUAGGUCAUAUUCGACGUAGAAUAAUUUAAAUGAACCAAUAGUUUACUUUGCAAAUGGCAGACCCUCAUUCCUGUAGAAUAGAAAGAGCAGAUGGCAAUAAUCAUUUAAAUAAAUCUCACCAACAUGUCUAUAAUUUUAAGUGUGUAAGGGAUGGUGGCUCAUCUUUCACACAGACUGUUGAAAAUUGUUUCCAUCAAGAGGAAGGAGAAAGGAAGAGUUAAUGUCUAAAGGGAAUAAAUGUGUCGCCCAUAAGUCUGGGGUUAUGAGCUUGGACUCUUAUAAAUAUAGAAAGCAAUAUAAUGAUAUCAUCAUCUUUGACACUUAGUAAUGGAAAAAGAGGAAGGAGAUAGUAUGAGUAAAAAUAAGAUUGAAGCUUCAAGUGAAAGUUGAAUGUUGAUAGCAUUAAUUAACAUUUACUUGCAGACUCAAAUGCUAACCAUGGAUGGCAGAAGACUCAAUGGAUUGGAAAGGAACUUUGUUAUAAAUAAGAACAGAAGAAAUGUGACAAAAUAAAGGGUAGUUUAGAUGACUAAAAUUUUUAAACAUUGUACAACUAUAAAUGUAAUAAAUUCAUUGAGUAAUAAAAAAAUAAAAAUAAACAAAAAAAGAAUUAUUUUGGAAUUAUAUGGCUAAAUUUGUUCUCUUUAACAUAGGUUCAUUUUAGAUGCUAAAAUUAUUUGGAUGUUGAAACUUUACCAUAAAACAUUAGACAGUAUUGAUUCUCCCUGUUCCAACUUGAUAUUUUUGAAGGGUUUUAGCAGUAGAAAUUUUUACCAAAGUCUUAUAUACUUGAUCUUUGACAUUUGAAACCUGCCUGAUUGUCAUCUUUUGUAUGUAACUGUCAUUUUUCUUUGGAGAUUUUUACGAAUUUCCCCAUUGCCCGACCAUACACGUUGGUUGAACAACUUGAUUGUGGUGAAGAGGCUUGACUGACUGUAAUUUUAACUGAAGAUUAACUAUUUUGAUUUAACAGAUCCCAGCUCUUCCAUAGACUGCUUCUGGAAUGUCCGUGCAGAGAAAUUGAACUUUUGGUUAUUUAUUUAUUUUUUUAGAAAUAUAACAGUUUCCAAAUCACAGAUCUGGCUUGUUACUAGAUCAUCAUGGACACUAUAAUGUAUUUUUAAAGAGCACUCAAAAAAAUAAAGAUAAGCUUACUGAUAAUGAUUUUAAAUAGGCACAAUGACUGAUGGAACUGAAAAAUAAUUCUCCAAUUUGAUGUUGGAACAUUAAGUCUUAGAAGUUGAUAGAGGAGUUGCCGUUGUGGCUCAGCGGAAGCAGAAUCUGACUAGGAACCAUGAGGUUAUGGGUAUGAUCCCUGGCCUAGCUCGGUGGGUUAGGGAUCUGGAGUUGCCAUGAGCUGUGGUUAGAUUACAAAUGUAGCUUGGUUUCUCUGUUGCUGUGGCUGUGGUGUAGGCUGGCAGCUGUAGCUCCAAUUGGACCCCUAGCCCGCGACCCUUCAUAUGCUGCAAGUAUGGCCAUAAAAAAGCAAAAAAAAAAAAAAAAA